RNAcentral lists this ribosomal RNA (253 nucleotides) under uncultured bacterium. RNAcentral describes it as "partial 16S ribosomal RNA". It matches the Rfam family "Bacterial small subunit ribosomal RNA", at positions 524 to 776 of the family's 1533-position model. The record is from RNAcentral.
UACGGAGGGUGCAAGCGUUAUCCGGAAUCAUUGGGUUUAAAGGGUGCGCAGGCGGUCUAUUAAGUCAGUGGUGAAAACCUCCCGCUCAACGGGAGACCUGCCAUUGAUACUGAUGGACUCGAAUGUAGUUGAAGUAGGCGGAAUGUGUAGUGUAGCGGUGAAAUGCUUAGAUAUUACACAGAACACCGAUAGCGAAGGCAGCUUACUAAGCUACGAUUGACGCUCAUGCACGAAAGCGUGGGGAUCGAACAGG